This 465-nucleotide ribosomal RNA is filed under the name Pimelia rugosa. RNAcentral describes it as "partial large subunit ribosomal RNA". It matches the Rfam family "Archaeal large subunit ribosomal RNA", at positions 1999 to 2666 of the family's 2987-position model. Lineage: Eukaryota; Metazoa; Arthropoda; Insecta; Coleoptera; Tenebrionidae. The record is from RNAcentral.
UUUGAAUGGUCGCAGUAUUUUGACUGUGCCAGGUUGCAUAAUCAUUAGUUUUUUAAUUGAAAGCUGGUAUGAAAGGUUUGAUGAGAAAAUGACUGUCUCUGUUUAAAUGUAUUAGAACUUCAAUUUUAAGUGAAAAAGCUUAAAUUUUUUAUAAAGACGAGAAGACCCUAUAGAGUUUUAUAUUUUGGUAUUUAUAAAGGUUAAGGAUUUUAUUUUUUUAUUAAUAUUCAAGUAUUUUGUUGGGGUGAUGGAAAAAUUUAAUUAACUUUUUUUUGUUUUUUACAUUUAUUUAUGAUUAUUUGAUCCUUAAAUUUGGAUUACAAGAUUAAAUUACCUUAGGGAUAACAGCGUAAUUUUUUUUGGAGAGUUCUUAUCGAUAAAAAAGUUUGCGACCUCGAUGUUGGAUUAAAAUUAAAUUUUGGUGUAGAAGCUAAAAUUUUAGGUCUGUUCGACCUUUGAAAUUUU